RNAcentral lists this ribosomal RNA (429 nucleotides) under Verrucomicrobiota bacterium. RNAcentral describes it as "Verrucomicrobia bacterium partial 16S ribosomal RNA". It matches the Rfam family "Bacterial small subunit ribosomal RNA", at positions 355 to 776 of the family's 1533-position model. The record is from RNAcentral. Lineage: Bacteria; Pseudomonadati; Verrucomicrobiota.
UGGGGAAUAUUGGACAAUGGGCGCAAGCCUGAUCCAGCCAUGCCGCGUGUGUGAAGAAGGCCUUUUGGUUGUAAAGCACUUUAAGCGAGGAGGAGGCUACUUGGAGUAAUACUCUAGGAUAGUGGACGUUACUCGCAGAAUAAGCACCGGCUAACUCUGUGCCAGCAGCCGCGGUAAUACAGAGGGUGCGAGCGUUAAUCGGAUUUACUGGGCGUAAAGCGCGCGCAGGCGGUUGCUCAAGCGGAACCUCUAAUCUCGGGGCUUAACCUCGAGCCGGGUUCCGAACUGGACGACUCGAGUGCGGUAGAGGCAGAUGGAAUUCCCGGUGUAGCGGUGGAAUGCGCAGAUAUCGGGAAGAACACCAACGGCGAAGGCAGUCUGCUGGGCCGUCACUGACGCUGAGGCGCGAAAGCUGGGGGAGCGAACAGG